Molecule: ribosomal RNA, 438 nt
Filed under: Triticum aestivum (bread wheat)
Lineage: Eukaryota; Viridiplantae; Streptophyta; Magnoliopsida; Poales; Poaceae
Description: partial small subunit ribosomal RNA
Source: RNAcentral
AUGCUACGUUUGAAUUCCAUCUGUUCGAUAGAUAUAAAAGAAUUGGCAGCCUUACGCGCCGGUCGGCAGCCCAAUUUUGGACGGGUCGCACCAGCGGCGUAUGUACUUUUGGUUCCCAGCCGCACUAUCUUCUUCCUCCUCCUCUCCUGCGCCUUCUUCUCUGAGAAAAUAGCCCCCAUCGUGCCGCCAUGGAUGCCCGACUUAGAAGCACCACCCUGCAUGUCUCGUCUAUUGCUGCCCUUGCCACCAGUCGCCGUCGUCGCCUACUGUAUUUCUCACCGGCUUCACGCAUACAGCAGCAUGUCCCCAUGGUUGCAGCUCCUCCUGACAAUGGUCGCCGCUCCCAUGGCGGCGGCUACGGCUCCGGCGGUCACGACCGGCAGUCGCUGUACUAUCCCUCUGGUUGCCGGUUCCAGCAAAAAAGUCAGCCGAUUGUAG